RNAcentral lists this long non-coding RNA (2376 nucleotides) under Nicotiana tabacum (common tobacco). RNAcentral's name for it is "long non-coding RNA (NTAB_LNC017625)". Lineage: Eukaryota; Viridiplantae; Streptophyta; Magnoliopsida; Solanales; Solanaceae. The record is from RNAcentral.
GGAAUGGUUCUAGAUGGCUAUUGUAACAGCUGAAUUUAAACACCCUGUUGUAAAUAUUACAUACAUGAUAAUUGUAAUACAAUAAAAUUUGUAUAAUUUUCAAAGUGAAAGUAUUCAUAAACAUUCACAAACCAAAUUAAUUAUCCAACAAAUUAGUAAUACCCACAAAAAAAAAAUGUUCUAACCAAAGUUCAUAAGUUUAACAAUUCAAAGUUCCAAAAGGUUCGAUAAAAAAAGAUUCCUUGAAUAUCUAAAGUUUCAGCAACAAUUCCAAAAUCUUCUUAAGUAAGGUCUAGAUCUUCAUCGCUUUCGACUUUCUUUUCAUCAUUUUUUCCACCUAUAAAAGAGGGUAACAAAGUCAUUACCUUCAACAUAUUUCUCAUUUGCAAUAAGAGACAUCCACACAAAAAGAUAAGUCAAGAUUCAAUGAUGCUAGGUUAGGAACACCAACUUUGUACAAGUCAAAAAAUCUCAAUCAUAUUUCAAGUUAGAAAAACCAACAAUAUGAUGCCAAUAGGAACAUACAGAAAACUAACAAUUCUGAAAAAUAAGCAUGAGAAGAAAGUUUUUUGUGUUGUUGUGAUCGUAAGACAAGUUUCUCUAUUUGAUUAUAAAUUACUAUUAUUACGUACUUCGUCUUUCCAAGAAACUUGUAUAUAAAGCAACAGCAACCCAUUUUCAGAACAAGAGAAAAGUUAUUACUACUAAGUACUUAGUAGCUAAACGUUAUUGAGAACAACGUUUCUAAAUGGAGUCCAUAAGAUGGAGAAAACUGAGACUGAGGCUGAGGUUGCAGGGCCAAUACAACUAAAACUAAUGGUUCGCCUUACUGUCAUUUCAUGCCAUCUCCUUCUGGCAAUAAACAUCCAGAUUUCAGUCACAAGAACUGUUGCAGGGCCAAAUAUUUUGUCUCAAGACAAGUUGUGAAUUGGACUUGUAAAAGCGACUCUUGUACUUGGUUCUUUCAGUAAUAUGAUUAGAAAAUUUUAGUUUAGGACAUGAAACUAAUAGUCGUUAGUUGUAUGAAUUUUCUAGUAUGGAUUUAAUUUUAUCAGUUGGAGACUCCAACUUCACAGUCUAUAAGUUUGCUUCAGCAUCGUUCUCCUGGCUAAAGAUUCUGACUAUUUUCCAAAACUUAUCUGAUUUUGGAUGGUAUUUUUGUGUUUACUCUCAUUCUAAACACUGAACUAAUUGAAAUAAUUUAUGCUGCAUCAAGGAUGCAUCUUUAACUAUUCUUUAGACAAGAUGACCAGAAGCAAACAAGUGAUAAGUUAAGCUAUUGAACCAGUGAGCACUUGGUUCUGAGGCUUAAAAAGAUUUUUUGUUCUUACUUAUUAGGAAACAUUAGGAAAUAGAGCUAAACUACGCGAAAAUAUCCGCUUAUUACCACAACAAUAACAACUCAAGUUUGUUAAAUUAAACCUAGAAGUCCAAAAAUCAGAAAGAACAGCAAGAAACAAGCAAAUCAACUUUGACAGUAAUUUUAGAAGAUAAAAACAGAAAACAUGUAUAUGCUAGUAACAGAAAAGUGUAUCAAUUUGCAUAACUUGCUAUAUGAAAAGCAACCUAUGCAAUGAAAAACGAUAUGCUUCGUAGUAAUAAAGUUGGAAGGCAACCACAUAAUUACACAGUGACAAAAGAGAUGGAGGUAAAAUCAAAAAAUAUUAUAAUAACAAGACCAACAUGGACAAGUUAAGAAUGCCAUAACCAGUUGCGUAAUAUUUUGAGUUGCUAGUGGUAGAAGAAGCAGCUGAAGGAAGAAGGAGUAAAAUAGAAAGAGAAGAAGAUAAGUUAGAUAUCCUCCACAUAAAUAAAAUCACCAUAAAUAUACGACUAAAAGAUAAGGCAACAAACUGAGCAUAACACUAACUACCUUGAUUUUUGACUUUAGUAACAGCUCAUUUCUCUCUCCAAUCCAAAGAAGAAGGACUAUCAACAAUACCAAUAUCACUUGAAACUCCAGUAGAAGACGACCCACAUUAAUAACCUAAAAUUAAAGAACUCAAUGUUGCUUACAAAAAGACCUAAGAUUUAAAAAAAAAGAACGAUUAAACAAAAUAUCCAAAUCAGAUAAAAAAAACUUACACAUUCAUUUUGACGGCUUCUCUAAUUCGAGCAUAAAAUUGAUUUUGGAAUUUGGGGAUUUGGGGAUUUGGGGAAGGUUAGCAAUUGUCCUUGAGAUGAAUCUAUAAGGAGUUGAAAGAUAUUAGAAGUUGAAAGAUCUUUAUAUUUCUGGUGUUGGUUUUGGAUUUUAGGAGUGGAAGAGAAGAUUUUGGGGUAAUGAAUAUUUUUAUCUUUGAGAGGCAAAAAGAAAGAGAUAGGUUCUUUGGGUGUAUCGAAUAAUACUGAUCGAUGGGUGGGUUUAUUGGAAAAAGG